This 305-nucleotide ribosomal RNA is filed under the name uncultured bacterium. RNAcentral describes it as "bacterial SSU rRNA". It matches the Rfam family "Bacterial small subunit ribosomal RNA", at positions 338 to 641 of the family's 1533-position model. The record is from RNAcentral.
CCUACGGGGCGCAGCAGUGAGGAAUAUUGGUCAAUGGCCGGGAGGCUGAACCAGCCAAGUCGCGUGAGGGAAGACGGCCCUACGGGUUGUAAACCUCUUUUGUCAGGGAGCAAGGUGCAGGUCGGGACCUGCUGUGAGAGUACCUGAAGAAAAAGCAUCGGCUAACUCCGUGCCAGCAGCCGCGGUAAUACGGAGGAUGCGAGCGUUAUCCGGAUUUAUUGGGUUUAAAGGGUGCGCAGGCGGCACGGCAAGCCGGCGGUCAAAUCGCGGGGCUCAACCCCGCCCAGCCGUCGGAACUGCCGGGC